UCGGGAAUUUUGCUCAAUGGGCGAAAGCCUGAAGCAGCAACGCCGCGUGAGGGAUGAAGGCCUUCGGUUGUAAACCUCUUUCUCAGGACGAUAAUGACGGUACCUGAGGAAUAAGCCACGGCUAACUACGUGCCAGCAGCCGCGGUAAUACGUAGGUGGCAAGCGUUGUCCGGAUUCACUGGGCGUAAAGAGCGCGCAGGCGGCCGAGUAAGUCGAAUGUGAAAGCCCCCGGCUCAACUGGGGAAGGUCAUUCGAUACUGUUCGGCUCGAAGAUAGGAGAGGGAAGCGGAAUUUCAGGUGUAGUGGUGAAAUGCGUAGAUAUCUGAAGGAACACCAGUGGCGAAGGCGGCUUUCUGGCCUAUUCUUGACGCUGAGGCGCGAAAGCUAGGGGAGCGAACGGGAUUAGAUACCCCCGGUAGUCCUAGCCGUAAACGAUGAACACUAGAUGUUGGUGGUAUCAACCCCGCAGUGUCGUAGCUAACGCAUUAAGUGUUCCG
This 497-nucleotide ribosomal RNA is filed under the name uncultured bacterium. RNAcentral describes it as "bacterial SSU rRNA". It matches the Rfam family "Bacterial small subunit ribosomal RNA", at positions 355 to 871 of the family's 1533-position model. The record is from RNAcentral.